This is a long non-coding RNA of Tupaia belangeri chinensis (Chinese tree shrew), 351 nucleotides long. RefSeq lists it as uncharacterized. Lineage: Eukaryota; Metazoa; Chordata; Mammalia; Scandentia; Tupaiidae. The record is from RefSeq and is a predicted model, not a curated record. The transcript is spliced from 3 exons.
GGAGGCUGGGGGGCCAGAAGAGAAGAGUCACUGAGCACGAGAUCUCAGCUCGCGUCAUCUGAAAGACAUCCGUGGCCUAAAACCCAACCGACACUUGGUAAACUUAAAGACAGACUUCUGAUCUCCUGGGUGAAACCUGUAGGAAAAAACAUAUUGGCCUGGACAUUCCAUCUCUCAGUGACACUUUUGAAGAAUGUGUUCCUUCACCUGUAGUAGAGGAAAGUGCCAGCUGAUUAUUUGACAGAUUAUGGAUUAUUCCUUGUGUGAAAACGAAAAGCCCUAUACAGAAGAAUACAAAAGUGUGUCUUCACUGGUGUUCUGCCACAGGUAUCGGAGUUCAAUGCUUUUCAG